RNAcentral lists this ribosomal RNA (1372 nucleotides) under uncultured bacterium. Its description in RNAcentral is "bacterial SSU rRNA". It matches the Rfam family "Bacterial small subunit ribosomal RNA", at positions 28 to 1381 of the family's 1533-position model. The record is from RNAcentral.
GAUGAACGCUGGCGGCGUGCCUAAUACAUGCAAGUCGAGCGAACGGACGAGAAGCUUGCUUCUCUGAUGUUAGCGGCGGACGGGUGAGUAACACGUGGAUAACCUACCUAUAAGACUGGGAUAACUUCGGGAAACCGGAGCUAAUACCGGAUAAUAUUUUGAACCGCAUGGUUCAAAAGUGAAAGACGGUCUUGCUGUCACUUAUAGAUGGAUCCGCGCUGCAUUAGCUAGUUGGUAAGGUAACGGCUUACCAAGGCAACGAUGCAUAGCCGACCUGAGAGGGUGAUCGGCCACACUGGAACUGAGACACGGUCCAGACUCCUACGGGAGGCAGCAGUAGGGAAUCUUCCGCAAUGGGCGAAAGCCUGACGGAGCAACGCCGCGUGAGUGAUGAAGGUCUUCGGAUCGUAAAACUCUGUUAUUAGGGAAGAACAUAUGUGUAAGUAACUGUGCACAUCUUGACGGUACCUAAUCAGAAAGCCACGGCUAACUACGUGCCAGCAGCCGCGGUAAUACGUAGGUGGCAAGCGUUAUCCGGAAUUAUUGGGCGUAAAGCGCGCGUAGGCGGUUUUUUAAGUCUGAUGUGAAAGCCCACGGCUCAACCGUGGAGGGUCAUUGGAAACUGGAAAACUUGAGUGCAGAAGAGGAAAGUGGAAUUCCAUGUGUAGCGGUGAAAUGCGCAGAGAUAUGGAGGAACUCCAGUGGCGAAGGCGACUUUCUGGUCUGUAACUGACGCUGAUGUGCGAAAGCGUGGGGAUCAAACAGGAUUAGAUACCCUGGUAGUCCACGCCGUAAACGAUGAGUGCUAAGUGUUAGGGGGUUUCCGCCCCUUAGUGCUGCAGCUAACGCAUUAAGCACUCCGCCUGGGGAGUACGACCGCAAGGUUGAAACUCAAAGGAAUUGACGGGGACCCGCACAAGCGGUGGAGCAUGUGGUUUAAUUCGAAGCAACGCGAAGAACCUUACCAAAUCUUGACAUCCUUUGACAACUCUAGAGAUAGAGCCUUCCCCUUCGGGGGACAAAGUGACAGGUGGUGCAUGGUUGUCGUCAGCUCGUGUCGUGAGAUGUUGGGUUAAGUCCCGCAACGAGCGCAACCCUUAAGCUUAGUUGCCAUCAUUAAGUUGGGCACUCUAAGUUGACUGCCGGUGACAAACCGGAGGAAGGUGGGGAUGACGUCAAAUCAUCAUGCCCCUUAUGAUUUGGGCUACACACGUGCUACAAUGGACAAUACAAAGGGCAGCGAAACCGCGAGGUCAAGCAAAUCCCAUAAAGUUGUUCUCAGUUCGGAUUGUAGUCUGCAACUCGACUACAUGAAGCUGGAAUCGCUAGUAAUCGUAGAUCAGCAUGCUACGGUGAAUACGUUCCCGGGUCU